This 415-nucleotide ribosomal RNA is filed under the name uncultured prokaryote. RNAcentral's name for it is "bacterial SSU rRNA". It matches the Rfam family "Bacterial small subunit ribosomal RNA", at positions 505 to 918 of the family's 1533-position model. The record is from RNAcentral.
GUGUCAGCCGCCGCGGUAAUACGGGGGGUGCAAGCGUUGUUCGGAAUCAUUGGGCGUAAAGAGCGUGUAGGCGGCUUGAUAAGUCAGAUGUGAAAGCCCUGGGCUCAACCUGGGAAGUGCAUUUGAAACUGUCAUGCUUGAGUAGGGGAGAGGGAAGUGGAAUUCCUGGUGUAGAGGUGAAAUUCGUAGAUAUCAGGAGGAACACCGGUGGCGAAGGCGACUUCCUGGCCCUAUACUGACGCUGAGACGCGAGAGCGUGGGUAGCAAACAGGAUUAGAUACCCUGGUAGUCCACGCCGUAAACGAUGUUCACUAGGUGUUGGGGGUAUUGACCCCCUCAGUGCCGCAGCUAACGCAUUAAGUGAACCGCCUGGGGAGUACGGUCGCAAGACUAAAACUCAAAUGAAUUGACGGGG